Molecule: transfer RNA, 64 nt
Filed under: Atlanticus sp. ZJZ-2017
Lineage: Eukaryota; Metazoa; Arthropoda; Insecta; Orthoptera; Tettigoniidae
Description: tRNA-Phe
Rfam family: tRNA
About the family: Transfer RNA (tRNA) molecules are approximately 80 nucleotides in length. Their secondary structure includes four short double-helical elements and three loops (D, anti-codon, and T loops). Further hydrogen bonds mediate the characteristic L-shaped molecular structure. tRNAs have two regions of fundamental functional importance: the anti-codon, which is responsible for specific mRNA codon recognition, and the 3' end, to which the tRNAs corresponding amino acid is attached (by aminoacyl-tRNA synthetases). tRNAs cope with the degeneracy of the genetic code in two manners: having more than one tRNA (with a specific anti-codon) for a particular amino acid; and 'wobble' base-pairing, i.e. permitting non-standard base-pairing at the 3rd anti-codon position.
Source: RNAcentral
ACUUAAAUAGUUCAUACAGAGCGUAACACUGAAGAUGUUAAGGAGGUUGUUCAAUCUUUAGGUA